UACGUAGGGGCCGAGCGUUGUCCGGAGUUAUUGGGCGUAAAGCGCGCGCAGGCGGCCUCGCGCGCCCGACGUGAAAGCCCCCGGCUUAACCGGGGAGGGUCGUUGGGGACGGCGGGGCUUGAGGGCGGGAGAGGUCGGUGGAAUUCCCGGUGUAGUGGUGAAAUGCGUAGAGAUCGGGAGGAACACCUGUGGCGAAGGCGGGUCUCUGGGCCGAUACUGACGCUGAGGAGCGAAAGCGUGGGGAGCGAACAGG
This 253-nucleotide ribosomal RNA is filed under the name uncultured bacterium. Its description in RNAcentral is "partial 16S ribosomal RNA". It matches the Rfam family "Bacterial small subunit ribosomal RNA", at positions 524 to 776 of the family's 1533-position model. The record is from RNAcentral.